ACUGAACACUUGUUAGUCGAUCUUGUUGGUUUUAAUUGAAUUCCGCAAUGUUCUUAAACAUUUAUUCCAUUAUUUUUGUUUACUCCAUGUAAAUCGAUCGGUUUGAACUCGGUGCAUUUUAAAAGUUAUCGACGAUAUUAAUCCAAAUAUGUUAUAAAUGCAUGGUGUUUCAGUUUGAAAUUCUGGUCGUUCAGCAGACGGUAACGGGUUUUACAUGCGUUUGUAUUUUACAAUCGUUGAUAAUUGCAAAAUUGAAGCAGCAGGAAUUUACCUGUGGAAAGGAAAAAAAAGACAAAGCGAUAAAAAUUAAAGAUAAGACAAACGUGUAAAAGAUAAGGAACUGGAUAUUAAACCGGAAGUUGAAAUUAAAAAAGUGCUGAAAAAUGAUGAUUAAUUCAAAAAGUUUCAUUUGUGUAUGAAAUAUUGUGUGUAAUACAUCAAUCAGUGGUUAAAUAGUCUCGAACAAAAGGCGUGACUUGUUCUUUUUUCUUCUAUCGAUUCACUGAAAUGUGCUGAAUUAUUAUGACUGGGGAAUCGUCGCCAGUGUUCGAUUAGCGAUUGCUUUGAUUAAUAUAUCAACUAACUUGAAAUGCUUGAUAAUAUAUUGUUUUCCCUGGUAUUGAAAACUAUUCGCAUUUAUGUGUUUAAUAGGUGGCUAUGGAUUACAAUCGGAAAUUAUUAUUCGUUGGUUACAACGCGUUGUUGACAUUGACAAACCACUUACACCAAUGUCACUGUGUGGCAUUUAAACAAAAGUGCCAAUAAAAUGCCGAGUGUCUUUGGCCUAUUCACAAUCAUCAAUUUGAACCAGUCCACUGUAAACGAACCACGACUAUUGACUCAUACGAACUUGACAUUUCAUCAUUUCCAUGACGUUUUAAAUCAGUGCCUAUAUUUUUCCACAUCGAAUGAAUCAUCAUCGUAUUGUGUCGUCAGAAUCUAGGCGUGUAAUAAUUGCAGGAUGGUUGAUGACGUGUUGUACUAUGUUUUGGUGCUGUUGACACUGUUACCGGUAUAUUUGUUCUUCAAGCUGAUUCAAUGGAUGGGAUGGGAGCUAUUCGUAAACAAUUGAUGACAAUAAACUAGCCGAACAAUGAAAAAGGAUCAAUUGAACAAGCAGCGUCUGGUUUGCAUAAACUCGCUAAAAAUGUGAGGUUAAUAGCCGCUGAGAGCAGUUGCAGAAGGAUAAUGACUGCGAUAGAAUAAGCAACGCUCUUUAUCCAGUUGAAGUGCUCGACGUUUAAGCAACAGUUCACGUUCCAACAAGAUUCGAGUUUGAUUCAAAGCAUUUCUGGUAUCUUCAGCCUCUUUUAUGGAUACAGAUAAGGCCAAAGUAGCUUCUUCGAUGCUUCGUACUUCUUCAACCAGACCAACGUGUGCACGAUCCCGGCAAUUCUCAACAUUUAGACGCCGAUUACGAUGGUCAAGCCGAGAUUGAGCUACCUUCAUUGGUGUAUCCAUGUUUUGCAUAUUUUGAUUUAGAUUUUCAAUCAAGAGCUCGGUAUCAGCUAGGCGUUUUAGGCACUGUAAGGAAUGAGAAGAUAAUAUAGGAGAUUAGCAAGUUAAUGCUGUGUGAACAACGAGCUUAGGAACUUGACAGUACAUCUUUUAGAAUUACAUCAGAAUGUUAUUCAUAAAUUAAUUUCUUUUACUCACAUCCUUCAAUUCUGACUCAAGUUUUCGACAAGCCUCAUCAAUGUUCGUGAUGCGAUGAUUGAACGAACGAACCACACGAUCGGCUUUACAAUAUCAUGUUGAUGUCAAUGUACCGAUUUUUGUCGCACAUCUUCACAAUCGUUCAGAGCUUGUAUUGUAAACUCUUCCCAUGAAUACUCUGUGGAUUGCCUGCAUUAGGAAGAUCCGGAAAAAUCGAAAUAAAUUAAGAAAAUGUUUGGAAAAACUAAAACGAAUCGCAAGUUUUGAUUCAAAAGUACCCAUCCAUGAAUCGAGUUGCACCCGGUUUGAAGAGAAUCUCAUGUGAUCGAUUGUUUAGCGACGAAUUUCUGGCGUCAAUUUCAUAGGCGUGCAUUUUAUCGGACCAAUCGCUUUCAAGUCGUUCACGUGCCGCUCGGUUUUCACUCUGUUGUGCAUUGAUGUCAUUCAGUGUGGCGUGGAAAACAGUUCGAAUCUCGGAGAUCAAUGCAACCUCUUCGAUAAGUUCUUCCUCUGGCCCGUCACGUAUCAAUUCGCUAUCGGGUCGUCGACUUCGCCGUUCAACACAUUCCGUAGCUGUUGGAAAUUAGUUAUUUUUAGUUACAAAUAAAGGAAUUAGACUCUGAUCAAUAUUACCGAUAGACUCUGGUUUUUGCAAGACAGCUAUUGCUUUCAUCAUACGAUUCCGCUGCUCUGCCAAAUUGCUUAUUUCAUCCAUUUGUGCACGUAUUGCUCGUUCCAGUGUUGUUUUCAAUCGGUACACAUCAUGUGUACGAUCUCUCAGCAAUUUUGUACUAUUUUCCUGGUGUCGAUCAACCAAUGCAAUUGCAUGAUCGGUUGUGUCUUUGCCCUUGUCUUCAACUCUGUGCGGAAAGUUUUUCACUCGAAAUGAAAUGAAUGACGAAAAAAUUAUGGGAAAAAAGGUAAGUGAUUUACUUGAGACUUUGGAGGAUGACUUGAUGAUUUUCAUCGUAAAUGUCAAUGUUUCGUUGGUGCCAUUCAUUGGUGCUGAAUCGCGUUACGGAAUAAUGAUCAACGACUGGUUUAACACCAACCAAACCACUCGAUGGAUUCCAAUCACAUUUUCCAGUGGCCCAUGGUCCAAUCGCUCCCAUUUUCUCACACAUCUCUUCGUGUAUCGAUCGUGUACUUUCACAUCUGGAUGGACAUUCAUUCUGUGGAUAUUGAAAUGGAAAUUGUUUUGUUUUGUCGAUAAUUUAAAUGAUUAAAAAACAUUUUUGUAGAAAAAUUACUGUUAAAUAAAAAAAUAAAAAAAUGGUUAACCUGCUGCUGCAAGUUGCCAUCGUCCCAAGUGA
Sitodiplosis mosellana (orange wheat blossom midge) is the source of this 2969-nucleotide RNA transcript. RefSeq lists it as uncharacterized. The record is from RefSeq and is a predicted model, not a curated record. The transcript is spliced from 5 exons. Lineage: Eukaryota; Metazoa; Arthropoda; Insecta; Diptera; Cecidomyiidae.